CGUAGGUGCGAGCGUUGUCCGGAUUAUUGGCGUAAGAGCUUGUAGGCGGUUGUCGCGUCUGCUGUGAAAUUCAGGGCUUAACCCUGGACGUGCAGUGGUACGGCAGACUAGAGUAUGGUAGGGAGACUGGAAUUCCUGGUGUAGCGGUGGAAUGCGCAGAUAUCAGGAGGAACACCGAUGGCGAAGGCAGGUCUCUGGGCCAUUACUGACGCUGAGAAGCGAAAGCAUGGGAGCGAACAGGAUU
RNAcentral lists this ribosomal RNA (244 nucleotides) under uncultured bacterium. Its description in RNAcentral is "partial 16S ribosomal RNA". It matches the Rfam family "Bacterial small subunit ribosomal RNA", at positions 526 to 779 of the family's 1533-position model. The record is from RNAcentral.